GAGGGUGUCCCCACCUCGGAUUGAACCCCCACGGCGCCUCGGACGCGAGGAAGAAAAAUUUCCCCUUCCACUCAUGUAUAGAGGAAGGGGCCCCGUGAAAGAGCGACAUACCGCCUCGGAAGGCAAAGUAUAGCCACUCCGCGUCCGCCGGGUUCUUCUUUAAUAAGAAACACCGACGGAAGACGCUCACGGUAAUCGGGAUCCCAUGCCCGAGACACAGGGAGAGGAACCCGAUGAUGGUUCUCCACGAGUUCGGAGCGAGCUGUGC
RNAcentral lists this long non-coding RNA (268 nucleotides) under Phoenix dactylifera (date palm). RNAcentral's name for it is "long non-coding RNA (PDAC_LNC006630)". The record is from RNAcentral. Lineage: Eukaryota; Viridiplantae; Streptophyta; Magnoliopsida; Arecales; Arecaceae.